Molecule: ribosomal RNA, 292 nt
Filed under: uncultured bacterium
Lineage: Bacteria
Description: partial 16S ribosomal RNA
Rfam family: Bacterial small subunit ribosomal RNA
Source: RNAcentral
GUGCCAGCAGCCGCGGUAAUACGUAGGGUGCGAGCGUUAAUCGGAAUUACUGGGCGUAAAGGGUGCGCAGGUGGUUACGUAAGUCUGAUGUGAAAGCCCCGGGCUCAACCUGGGAACUGCAUUGGAGACUGCGUGGCUAGAGUGUGGCAGAGGGGGGUGGAAUUCCGCGUGUAGCAGUGAAAUGCGUAGAGAUGCGGAGGAACACCAAUGGCGAAGGCAGCCCCCUGGGUUAACACUGACACUCAUGCACGAAAGCGUGGGGAGCAAACAGGAUUAGAUACCCUGGUAGUCC